AGAACGAACGCUGGCGGCAUGCCUAACACAUGCAAGUCGAACGCUUUUGGGGCUUCGGUCCCAAAGGAGUGGCGCACGGGUGAGUAGCGCGUGGGAACCUGCCCUGUUGUGGGGGAUAACCGAGGGAAACUUCGGCUAAUACCGCAUGCGCCCGGGGAAACCCGGGGAAAGAUUUAUCGCAGCAGGAGGGGCCCGCGUCGGAUUAGGUAGUUGGUAGGGUAACGGCCUACCAAGCCUUUGAUCCGUAGCUGGUCUGAGAGGAUGAUCAGCCACACUGGGACUGAGACACGGCCCAGACUCCUACGGGAGGCAGCAGUGGGGAAUAUUGGACAAUGGGCGCAAGCCUGAUCCAGCAAUGCCGCGUGAGUGAUGAAGGCCUUAGGGUUGUAAAGCUCUUUCGCCCGCGACGAUGAUGACGGUAGCGGGAGAAGAGCCCCGGCUAACUUCGUGCCAGCAGCCGC
This 461-nucleotide ribosomal RNA is filed under the name uncultured bacterium. Its description in RNAcentral is "SSU rRNA". It matches the Rfam family "Bacterial small subunit ribosomal RNA", at positions 26 to 518 of the family's 1533-position model. The record is from RNAcentral.